This 346-nucleotide unclassified non-coding RNA is filed under the name soil metagenome. RNAcentral describes it as "partial contains 5.8S ribosomal RNA, internal transcribed spacer 2, and large subunit ribosomal RNA". The stretch from base 1 to 119 matches the Rfam family "5.8S ribosomal RNA", at positions 35 to 154 of the family's 154-position model. The record is from RNAcentral.
GAUGAAGAACGCAGCGAAAUGCGAUACGUAAUGUGAAUUGCAAAUUCAGUGAAUCAUCGAGUCUUUGAACGCACAUUGCGCCCCCUGGUAUUCCGGGGGGCAUGCCUGUCCGAGCGUCAUUGCUGCCCUCAAGCCCGGCUUGUGUGUUGGGCCCCGUCCCCCGAUCUCCGGGGGACGGGCCCGAAAGGCAGCGGCGGCACCGCGUCCGGUCCUCGAGCGUAUGGGGCUUUGUCACCCGCUCUGUAGGCCCGGCCGGCGCUUGCCGAUCAACCCAAAUUUUUAUCCAGGUUGACCUCGGAUCAGGUAGGGAUACCCGCUGAACUUAAGCAUAUCAAUAAGCGGAGGA